ACGCUGGCGGCGUGCCUAACACAUGCAAGUCGAGCGAUGAAAUCCUUCGGGAUGGAUUAGCGGCGGACGGGUGAGUAACACGUGGGUAACCUGCCUUGUAGAGGGGGAUAGCCUUCCGAAAGGAAGAUUAAUACCGCAUAACAUCCUUUUAUCGCAUGGUAGAAAGAUCAAAGGAGUAAUCCGCUACAAGAUGGACCCGCGGCGCAUUAGCUAGUUGGUGAGGUAACGGCUCACCAAGGCGACGAUGCGUAGCCGACCUGAGAGGGUGAUCGGCCACAUUGGAACUGAGACACGGUCCAGACUCCUACGGGAGGCAGCAGUGGGGAAUAUUGCGCAAUGGGGGAAACCCUGACGCAGCAACGCCGCGUGAAUGAAGAAGGCCUUAGGGUUGUAAAGUUCUGUUUACGGGGACGAUAAUGACGGUACCCGUGGAGGAAGCCACGGCUAACUACGUGCCAGCAGCAGC
RNAcentral lists this ribosomal RNA (466 nucleotides) under uncultured bacterium. RNAcentral describes it as "bacterial SSU rRNA". It matches the Rfam family "Bacterial small subunit ribosomal RNA", at positions 33 to 518 of the family's 1533-position model. The record is from RNAcentral.